UACGUAUGGUGCAAGCGUUAUCCGGAUUUACUGGGUGUAAAGGGAGCGCAGGCGGCACGGCAAGCCUGAUGUGAAAGCCCGCGGCCCAACCGCGGGACUGCAUUGGGAACUACCGGGCUGGAGUGCCGGAGAGGUAGGCGGAAUUCCUAGUGUAGCGGUGAAAUGCGUAGAUAUUAGGAGGAACACCAGUGGCGAAGGCGGCCUACUGGACGGUGACUGACGCUGAGGCUCGAAAGUGUGGGGAGCAAACAGG
RNAcentral lists this ribosomal RNA (253 nucleotides) under uncultured bacterium. RNAcentral's name for it is "partial 16S ribosomal RNA". It matches the Rfam family "Bacterial small subunit ribosomal RNA", at positions 524 to 776 of the family's 1533-position model. The record is from RNAcentral.